GGAUGCAUUUAAUGCAUGGUAGGGGAGCGUUCUGUAAGUCUGUGAAGGUGUCUUGUAAAGGAUGCUGGAGAUAUCAGAAGUGCGAAUGCUGACAUGAGUAGCGAUAAAGGGUGUGAAAAGCACCCUCGCCGAAAGCCCAAGGUUUCCUGCGCAACGUUCAUCGGCGCAGGGUGAGUCGGCCCCUAAGGCGAGGCAGAAAUGCGUAGUCGAUGGGAAACAGGUCAAUAUUCCUGUACCGAUUCUAGAUGCGAUGUGGGGACGGAGAAGGUUAGGUCAGCCAUCUGUUGGAAUAGGUGGUUUAAGCGUGUAGGCGUGCCCCUUAGGCAAAUCCGGGGGGCUUAGCUGAGGCGUGACGACGAGGCACUACGGUGCUGAAGUGAUUGAUACCAAGCUUCCAGGAAAAGCCACUAAGCUUCAGUCUAGAAUUGACCGUACCGCAAACCGACACAGGUGGGCAGGUAGAAGAUACUAAGGCGCUUGAGAGAACUCAGGAGAAGGAACUCGGCAAAUUGAUACCGUAACUUCGGGAGAAGGUAUGCCCCAUUAGCUUGUAGGAGAACAUCCGAAGGGCGAAGGGGCCGCAGAGAAUCGGUGGCUGCGACUGUUUAUUAAAAACACAGCACUCUGCAAACACGAAAGUGGACGUAUAGGGUGUGACGCCUGCCCGGUGCCGGAAGGUUAAGUGAUGGGGUGCAAGCUCUUGAUCGAAGCCCCGGUAAACGGCGGCCGUAACUAUAACGGUCCUAAGGUAGCGAAAUUCCUUGUCGGGUAAGUUCCGACCUGCACGAAUGGCGUAACGAUGGCCACACUGUCUCCUCCUGAGACUCAGCGAAGUUGAAAUGUUUGUGAAGAUGCAAUCUCCCCGCGGCUAGACGGAAAGACCCCAUGAACCUUUACUGUAGCUUUGCAUUGGACUUUGACGGGACUUGUGUAGGAUAGGUGGGAGGCGAUGAAACCGGGACGCUAGUUCCGGUGGAGCCGUCCUUGAAAUACCACCCUGGUGUCGUUGAGGUUCUAACCUAGGUCCAUCAUCCGGAUCGGGGACCGUGCAUGGUAGGCAGUUUGACUGGGGCGGUCUCCUCCCAAAAGGUAACGGAGGAGUACGAAGGUACGCUUAGGGCGGUCGGACAUCGCCCACAAAGUGCAAUGGCAAAAGCGUGCUUGACUGCGAGACCCACAAGUCGAGCAGGUACGAAAGUAGGUCAUAGUGAUCCGGUGGUUCUGUAUGGAAGGGCCAUCGCUCAACGGAUAAAAGGUACUCUGGGGAUAACAGGCUGAUUCCGCCCAAGAGUUCACAUCGACGGCGGAGUUUGGCACCUCGAUGUCGGCUCAUCACAUCCUGGGGCUGUAGCCGGUCCCAAGGGUAUGGCUGUUCGCCAUUUAAAGUGGUACGUGAGCUGGGUUUAAAACGUCGUGAGACAGUUUGGUCCCUAUCUGCCGUGGGCGCUGGAUAUUUGAGGGGGCCUGCUCCUAGUACGAGAGGACCGGAGUGGACGAAUCUCUGGUGUACCGGUUGUGACGCCAGUCGCAUCGCCGGGUAGCUAAAUUCGGAAGAGAUAACCGCUGAAAGCAUCUAAGCGGGAAACUCGCCUCAAGAUGAGAUAUCCCUGGGAACUUGAUUCCCCUAAAGGGUCGUUGAAGACCACGACGUUGAUAGGCUGGGUGUGGAAG
Molecule: ribosomal RNA, 1671 nt
Filed under: wastewater metagenome
Description: bacterial LSU rRNA
Rfam family: Bacterial large subunit ribosomal RNA
Source: RNAcentral